UACGAAGGGGGCUAGCGUUGCUCGGAAUCAUUGGGCGUAAAGGGCACGUAGGCGGCUCGUUAAGUCAGGGGUGAAAUCCUGGAGCUCAACUCCAGAACUGCCUUUGAUACUGGCAAUCUCGAGUCCGGGAGAGGUGAGUGGAACUGCGAGUGUAGAGGUGAAAUUCGUAGAUAUUCGCAAGAACACCAGUGGCGAAGGCGGCUCACUGGCCCGGUACUGACGCUGAGGUGCGAAAGCGUGGGGAGCAAACAGG
RNAcentral lists this ribosomal RNA (253 nucleotides) under uncultured bacterium. RNAcentral's name for it is "partial 16S ribosomal RNA". It matches the Rfam family "Bacterial small subunit ribosomal RNA", at positions 524 to 776 of the family's 1533-position model. The record is from RNAcentral.